Molecule: unclassified non-coding RNA, 336 nt
Filed under: Ascomycota sp.
Lineage: Eukaryota; Fungi; Ascomycota
Description: partial contains small subunit ribosomal RNA, internal transcribed spacer 1, and 5.8S ribosomal RNA
Rfam family: Eukaryotic small subunit ribosomal RNA (bases 1-47)
Source: RNAcentral
AAAGUCGUAACAAGGUUUCCGUAGGUGAACCUGCGGAAGGAUCAUUAUUAUUGUGGCCAUUAGGCGCAGCUGGGGGCUGGUCGUCGAAAGUUAAAGGAGAUCUUAGUCGGUCUAUAUGCACGUGAAUAGAUUCCCAACACGACGGGGUGUCCACCGGGACGCGACCUGCUUCUCCGCGACCAGCCCUGACCGAUAUACCCAUGAUUUUUGCGCACCUAUUGUUUCCUCGGCAGGCUUGCCUGCCAGCAGGACCCUUUUAAAACCCAUUGCAGUUGCAGUCAGCGUCAGAUAAACUUAUAAUAGUUACAACUUUCAACAACGGAUCUCUUGGUUCUG